CUCUGUAAAGCUGUAUGUGCCACCAGGCAGAGCAUGUAAAGUUUUCUGUGGAAGUUUUGGGGUAGGUUUCUGUUCAUUCAUUUAUCCCAUGGGCUUUCACCGCUACACGCCAUGCAUUGUUCUGUCAUAAUCAACCAGGUGGCAACAGAUUCUGAGAAGAGUAUGACCAGUCACUAGUCUCUAGCAACUGGAUAGAGUUAAACUCAUAGAGUAAAUAACUAAAAUGCAAUUAAAUUGCUGCUAUGGGGGAAGUGGCUGACUGCAAGGUCAGCAGUGACUCCAGAGGAUAAAAUUUUGAGUUUAAAGAGGGGUAGAAAAGGCAGACAAAGGAAGACCAUUCCAGUGAGAAGAAACACUAUUUGCAAUAACAACUACAAAUGCGAGGAGUAGUUCCUGUGGCUGCAACAUAGGCCAUUAAUGAAGAAUGGGACCAAACAAUGAAAAGCCUCCUGUGAUAACCUAGUAGGUUUCUUGGUUCUCUUGCCAAUUUGGAAUCACAGAGGAUUUUAAAGAAGUCCCGUCUUCAAACUCAAACCUCAUUCUGGCUUCUGUGAUCAAUCACCUUUUGGGCUUUUCCGGUUGGCCAGGCUGCCGGCUUUGACACGAGCGCCUCUCAGCCCUGAGUGUAGAGUUCAAUCUUUGUCAUCACGCAAAUAGUGUAAGAACGGCCAGUAGAAACAUUCCGGGAGAUUGUUCAAUCUCGUGAAGAGAGACAGUUUUCAGAGUAACAGUGGUUUGGAGUUAAGCACAUCUGAAUUGUCCAGAAAAUCGCUGCAGUUCCACAUUUCACUAAGCUAAUAUAAGAAUGGCCUCAGGACAAGUUUUAGAUGAAGCGAACUGAGAUGAAACUAGAAAGAAGAAUCCAAUGAUAAAAAGUUCCUUACUUGGUAUUAUGUGUAUCAAUGGUAUGGAAAAGCUCAUGUAAUUCUUCUCCACUCAGAACACCAUCUGCAAAAUAUGCUUUGAAUUCUUCAAAGGACAAUUUUCCAUCAUCUGAAACGGUAAAUCUGGAUAAGCAGAGAUGGAAGAAACACAUUAAUAACAGAUGAAAGUAAAAGAUCUCUACAUGAUACAGCAGCACAGAAUGCAAGGGAGUGAAUGGACAUGAAGGAAAAGGAAAGCAUCCUUCCUUCUGUGCAAGAAGCUGGUUUGCUAGUUAUUUCAGGAAGCUGCCAGAUGACUUACGUGAUGGAACGAUCCUCUCCCUUUACAAAGAGACAGCAGUGGACUAAGGAGGAGGAACUCAGGGUCACAAAACUCCUGCCGUGUGGUCCUACCAACACUAUACUGAACAAAGUGGAGUUUGUCUUUGAGAAAAAGAUGAUAAGAUUUAGCAGGAUUGGACCUUCAAGACCCGCUGAGCGUAUUUUUUCCUCUAAAGAUGGCCCACAGACCAUUUUAAUUCAGUUAAAAUGUGGAUUCCUGGGCCCUACUAGAGAAUCCAAAUCUCAGAGAGGGCAUGGAGGGGUGAGGCAGCGAAGGAAUCAGGAUUUUUCGUGACCUGUGAGACUCUUCCCCACAGCAACGCUUAAAAUAAAGGACACAACAGACUU
Molecule: long non-coding RNA, 1553 nt
Organism: Felis catus (domestic cat)
Lineage: Eukaryota; Metazoa; Chordata; Mammalia; Carnivora; Felidae
Exons: 6
Source: RefSeq, a predicted model, not a curated record